GAGUUUGAUCCUGGCUCAGGAUGAACGCUGGCGGCGUGCUUAACACAUGCAAGUCGAACGAAGCGCCUUAUUUGAUUUUCUUCGGAACUGAAGAUUUGGUGACUGAGUGGCGGACGGGUGAGUAACGCGUGGGUAACCUGCCCUGUACAGGGGGAUAACAAUCAGAAAUGACUGCUAAUACCGCAUAAGACCACAGCACCGCAUGGUGCAGGGGUAAAAACUCCGGUGGUACAGGAUGGACCCGCGUCUGAUUAGCUGGUUGGUGAGGUAACGGCUCACCAAGGCGACGAUCAGUAGCCGGCUUGAGAGAGUGAACGGCCACAUUGGGACUGAGACACGGCCCAAACUCCUACGGGAGGCAGCAGUGGGGAAUAUUGCACAAUGGGGGAAACCCUGAUGCAGCAACGCCGCGUGAGUGAAGAAGUAUUUCGGUAUGUAAAGCUCUAUCAGCAGGGAAGAAAGUGACGGUACCUGACUAAGAAGCCCCGGCUAACUACGUGCCAGCAGCCGCCGCAACG
RNAcentral lists this ribosomal RNA (518 nucleotides) under uncultured microorganism. RNAcentral describes it as "bacterial SSU rRNA". It matches the Rfam family "Bacterial small subunit ribosomal RNA", at positions 9 to 525 of the family's 1533-position model. The record is from RNAcentral.